ACACGUAGGGGGCGAGCGUUGUUCGGAAUCAUUGGGCGUAAAGGGCGUGCAGGCGGUCCUGCAAGUCCGGCGUGAAAGACCCCGGCGCAACCGGGGGGACGCGCUGGAUACUGCCGGGCUUGAGUACCGGCGGGGAUGCCGGAACUCCAGGUGGAGGGGCGAAAUCUGUAGAUAUCUGGAAGAACACCAAUGGCGAAGGCAGGCAUCUGGCCAUGUACUGACGCUGAGACGCGAAGGUGCGGGGAGCAAACAGGUUUAGAUACCCUGGUAGUCCGCACAGUAAACGAUGUGCACCAGGUGGCGGGGGGUCGACCCCCGGUACCGUAGCUAACGCAUUAAGUGCACCGCCUGGGGAGUAUGCUCGCAAGGGUGAAACUCAAAUGAAUUGGCGGG
RNAcentral lists this ribosomal RNA (393 nucleotides) under uncultured bacterium. RNAcentral describes it as "partial 16S ribosomal RNA". It matches the Rfam family "Bacterial small subunit ribosomal RNA", at positions 523 to 917 of the family's 1533-position model. The record is from RNAcentral.